UGUCUACUCUGCAACGUCUGCAUUCCGGCGCUGAGUGGGGACAAUGUGGCACAGCGCGAGGCCAACAAGUGGCGCGCCAACAUCAGCCGGACAUUCGAGAACAAGGCCGAGACUGAUUUUCAGGUGUGCGGCCAAUUCGACAACACCAAAGAACAAGCCCAGGCCAGCUGCCCUUGGAACGACGAUAGUGUGAUCUGCCUUGACAUUAAGCACGAUAACUGGGAGGCACUGAGCUGCGGCCGGGUGCCGUUCGACUCGGACAUGCAGUGCUGGACAUGUUGCGGCGGCGCGCUCAUCUGCCCG
This is a long non-coding RNA of Pollicipes pollicipes, 303 nucleotides long. RefSeq lists it as uncharacterized. The record is from RefSeq and is a predicted model, not a curated record. NCBI's taxonomy places the organism in Eukaryota, Metazoa, Arthropoda, Thecostraca, Pollicipedomorpha, Pollicipedidae. The transcript is spliced from 3 exons.